This 254-nucleotide long non-coding RNA is filed under the name Setaria viridis. RNAcentral describes it as "long non-coding RNA (SVIR_LNC005924)". Lineage: Eukaryota; Viridiplantae; Streptophyta; Magnoliopsida; Poales; Poaceae. The record is from RNAcentral.
CUGGAUGUCUCUACUCCAAUUGACCCCUUCAUCUUGAGGAGUAAACCUUCUUAUAGAGUCAAAUCAAAAAAAUGAAUGGAUGAUCUAGAUACAUUACUUUAUAAUGCAAAACAACUGGCUAAUCACUGAUGAAGAACAUGCCCUUUUCCUGAAUAUGUGGCUGGAAAAAUUCAUCUUUUGUGGAUCCAGCACAUGUCCUACAGCGAACAUGCUAGUAUUUGCUGAACAUUUGGCUCAAGAUAAUAAACUCCCCC